GACGAACGCUGGCGGCGUGCCUAAUGCAUGCAAGUCGCACGCGGCACCUUCGGGUGCUGAGUGGCGAACGGCUGAGGAACACGUGGGGACCUGUCCGGGAGUGGGGGACAACACCGCGAAAGCGGUGCUAAUCCCGCAUACGCUCUGAGGAGGAAAGCCGAAAGGCGCUCCCGGGUGGCCCUGCGGCCCAUCAGGUUGUUGGUGGGGUAACGGCCUACCAAGCCAAUGACGGGUCGCUGGUCUGUGAGGACGACCAGCCAGACUGGGACUGGGACACGGCCCAGACUCCUACGGGAGGCAGCAGCAAGGAAUUUUCGGCAAUGGGCGCAAGCCUGACCGAGCAACGCCGCGUGCAGGAAGACGGCCUUCGGGUUGUAAACUGCUUUUGCUAGGGAUGAUACAGACAGUACCUGGCGAAUCAGCCCCGGCUAACUCUGUG
This 439-nucleotide ribosomal RNA is filed under the name uncultured bacterium. RNAcentral describes it as "partial 16S ribosomal RNA". It matches the Rfam family "Bacterial small subunit ribosomal RNA", at positions 28 to 507 of the family's 1533-position model. The record is from RNAcentral.